GGGGAUUUAGCUCAGUGGUAGAGCACUUGCCUAGCAAGCGCAAGGCCCUGGGUUCAGACCCCAGCUCCG
This 69-nucleotide transfer RNA is filed under the name Rattus norvegicus (Norway rat). It matches the Rfam family "tRNA". Rfam says of the family: Transfer RNA (tRNA) molecules are approximately 80 nucleotides in length. Their secondary structure includes four short double-helical elements and three loops (D, anti-codon, and T loops). Further hydrogen bonds mediate the characteristic L-shaped molecular structure. tRNAs have two regions of fundamental functional importance: the anti-codon, which is responsible for specific mRNA codon recognition, and the 3' end, to which the tRNAs corresponding amino acid is attached (by aminoacyl-tRNA synthetases). tRNAs cope with the degeneracy of the genetic code in two manners: having more than one tRNA (with a specific anti-codon) for a particular amino acid; and 'wobble' base-pairing, i.e. permitting non-standard base-pairing at the 3rd anti-codon position. The record is from Rfam by way of RNAcentral. Lineage: Eukaryota; Metazoa; Chordata; Mammalia; Rodentia; Muridae.